RNAcentral lists this long non-coding RNA (453 nucleotides) under Setaria italica (foxtail millet). RNAcentral describes it as "long non-coding RNA (SITA_LNC003471)". Lineage: Eukaryota; Viridiplantae; Streptophyta; Magnoliopsida; Poales; Poaceae. The record is from RNAcentral.
CACACCUCAUCUUGGAAGGAAGGAAAGUCAAUAUACUUGUUUAUUUUGGGUGUGAAAAUCAUGCUGAAAGUCAAUUGAUCUUUAUUUUUUUUUAAAAAAAAGUCAAUUGAUCUCUGACGGGAGCACGAGCUGCAUGCCCAAGAGUUUUGACUUUUGGGUCCAUGUUGACCUUGGUUCACAAGGCCCUCUAGCAAAUACUAAAAAUCAAUUACCAUUUGAUUUCCAAACCCUGCCUCAGGAACAGUUAGGUGAGUCUCAAUGAAGGUUUCAUGACAGUUCCAUAAACAUUAAUUUAUGCUACAUCAUAAAAAUUCUGACUUGGCAGGGUAAUUAUAAGGAGAAAGAGGAGAGAGUUUUAUCAGAUGCAGAUGCGAGAGGAGUUUCAUCCCAUGACACCUGUCAGAUAGGUUUAGGUACCAAAUUUUCAGUCUUGAUAAUUGUGCACUGAGACCG